UCCAACUUGCAGUCCGCCAUAUUUGUGUGACAUUGGAGGUUUUUUUUUGGCGAAAUUGCAAUUUGUGCAAUUUUUUAGUAUUUUAUCUGUGUUAGACAUCCUGAAAGUUUACCAUUCAACACGAGGCACCUGCAGUGGUGUUUCACCUGUCCAGCUGCAUCUCAAUCACCAAUCUGUACCGGCAUUUGCGCUUGGGAAAGUGAAGGCAAAAGUUUGACAGUGCGUUUGGGGGGUUUUUCGGGCAGUCUCUUUGUUUUGUGAGCGGCUUGGGCAUAAAUUCCUGGUGUCUGUCUGAACCAUGGGUAAAGUGUGGGUGUGAAUAUCCCAGUGAGAUUGAUUGCUUUAAAGUGACUUCCGACAUGAACUCCAUCCCCUCGACGGCGCCCACUUCGGCGGACGCUUGCCUCAGUAUUGUGCACUCCCUCAUGUGCCACCGGCAGGGGGGUGAAAGUGAGGGUUUUGCCAAAAGGGCCAUCGAGAGUUUGGUGAAGAAGCUCAAGGAGAAACGCGAUGAGCUGGAUUCCUUGAUAACAGCUAUCACGACAAAUGGGGCUCAUCCCAGUAAAUGCGUCACCAUCCAGCGCACACUGGACGGGAGACUGCAAGUGGCGGGGAGAAAAGGCUUCCCGCAUGUCAUCUAUGCGAGGAUCUGGCGAUGGCCGGAUCUGCAUAAGAAUGAGCUGAAGCACGUCAAGUACUGCCAGUACGCCUUUGACCUCAAAUGUGACUCAGUUUGUGUCAAUCCCUAUCACUAUGAGCGCGUUGUGUCACCUGGAAUUGACCUGAGUGGCCUGACACUGCAGUCUGGACCCAGUAGAAUUGUCAAAGAUGAGUACUCAGCUGGUGGAUUGGUCACAGGUACCAUGGAAAUGGAGGCAUUGGACACAGGAACAAUUCAGCAUCAUCCGCCACUGAAUAGUUCUUCUUACUCCAGCUACCAGCAAGCACCCCACACGAUGACUGUCCCUCCGGAUGCUGGGCUUCCUGCUACAGCCUGCAUCCAUCAAGGGCCACAGCAGCAGCCCAUAGUGUCCUUGGGGCAGAAUGUUAUGCCCUCUGCUGCUGCUACCCAGGACGCUCAAUCCCCCACGCAAAAUUACUACGCUGCUGCAGCUGCUGGACCUGCUUCCGGAACUCCAGCUGAACAGCCCCUGUCAGUGGAUCCGCAGACGCAGGCAGCAGCAGCCAGCAGCAUGACAAUCAUCCAGUCAUCAAAUGCCCAGGCAGUUCAUCCGCAGAAGAAUGGAUAUGUGGCAGGUGGAACAGGGACAGGGAGUGCUGGAACUCAGGCUGCAGCUGCAGCUGCUGGACAAGUGCAAUCGACACAGGCAUUCACAUCCACAGAAACCAUUCAAGGCACCUGGACAGGAUCCAGCACACUCACCUACACACAAUCCAUGCAGCCACCGGAUAUGAGGCAGAAUCAAUCAAUGUUCUGGUCCCAUGGGAACUCGCAUAUUCAGGGCGAGGUGUUUGGGCAUCAACGUCUCCUGUCCCGUCAGCCGGCGCCUGAGUACUGGUGCUCAGUGGCGUAUUUUGAGUUGGAUACGCAAGUGGGCGAGACGUACAAGGUGCCGUCAUCAAAGCCAAAUGUCAUUGUUGAUGGGUAUGUGGAUCCAUCUGGCGGCAAUCGGUUCUGCCUGGGAGCGCUGAGCAAUGUGCACAGGACUGAGCAGAGUGAGAGGGCUCGGUUGCACAUUGGGAAGGGUGUGCAGCUGGAUUUGCGCGGAGAAGGAGAUGUUUGGAUGCGCUGCCUCAGUGAUCACUCCGUCUUCGUGCAGAGCUACUACCUGGAUCGCGAGGCGGGCAGAACACCCGGAGAUGCCGUACACAAAAUCUACCCAGCAGCCUACAUCAAGGUCUUUGAUUUGCGCCAGUGCUACAGACAAAUGCAGUCUCUGGCGGCCAAUGCACAGGCGGCGGCUGCAGCUCAGGCGGCUGCUGUUGCAGGACUCCCUGGAUCUCAAAUCGGUGCCCCACCUAGAAGUGAGUAUGAAGGCCUUCCUUGUCCUUUUUCUCUAUAAAAUCCCAUUUAAAGAAAUACUCUUUGAUUUUAAAGAAAAAAAGAAUCUCUAAGCUUUCCAGUAGGGGAAUUCUGUAACGAUAUGACAAUGUCAUAUGACAAAUUUUCAUGGUAAAUUCGAGAACAGCACGACAUAAAAGCCCAGUGAAUUUACUCGACUUUGACUCGGAAUAGGAAAUCUCUAAUUUUAUCAAUAAUAUUUGCGGCAUACUUCAGGAAAAUUUCGUGCAAUCAAAAUUCACAUCCCUUUCUCAAACUAUUUCCAUUUGCCAUCCUAUUCUUUGGCACUCAAAAUUGGUUCGAACGAAAUUGAAUUUAUUGUGAUGUUCAAAGGAAGAAGAAGAAGAUUGCGAAAGAAAAGGAUAUGAAUUUCGAUUUCAUGAAACUUUCCUGAUCUAGAAGGUGUGCCGAAGAGCUAUAAAUAUUAAAUUUAAAUCUUUAUGGCUCCGGCACACAAUUUAAGAUCAGGAAAAUUUCAUGAAGUCAAAUUGGGAUCCUUUUCUUUCUCACAUAUGUCUGUCUCAUUCUUUCGCACUCUUCUUCUUUCUCUUAGAUCAGGAAAAUUUCAUGUAAUCGAAAUUAACAUCCUUUCCUUUCUUAAACGCUUUGCAUGUUUUUAUCCUCCUCUUUCACACUCUUCUUCUUCUUCUUUUUUUUCAACAUCAUAACAAAUUCAAUUUAGUUCAAUCUAAUUUCGUGACCGAAAAAGUGAGAUAGAUCUAUGCAAAUCUUUUGAGAAAGAAAAGGACGCGAAUUUUGAUUUCAUGAAUUUAUACUGAGCUGAAAGGUGUUCCAGUUUAAUUUUGUUCAGUUUUACAAUUUUUUUUAAAUAAAUUAACCAAUAUUUUUAAUAAAAAAAAUUUUUAAAAAAAAUUAAAAA
RNA transcript from Phlebotomus papatasi, 2903 nucleotides. It is a transcript of the gene named mothers against decapentaplegic homolog 4, with no coding region annotated. Lineage: Eukaryota; Metazoa; Arthropoda; Insecta; Diptera; Psychodidae. The transcript is spliced from 4 exons. The record is from RefSeq and is a predicted model, not a curated record.